ACAUCGGUAGCAAAGUGGUUAGUGCAGUCUGCCGGAAACAGAAAGACCCGAGUUCAAUUCCCGUCCGAUGUC
Non-coding RNA from Nippostrongylus brasiliensis, 72 nucleotides. The record is from Rfam. Lineage: Eukaryota; Metazoa; Nematoda; Chromadorea; Rhabditida; Heligmosomidae.